GACGAACGCUGGCGGCGUGCUUAACACAUGCAAGUCGAACGCUGAAGCUCAGCUUGCUGGGUGGAUGAGUGGCGAACGGGUGAGUAACACGUGAGUAACCUGCCCUCUUCUUUGGGAUAACGCCCGGAAACGGGUGCUAAUACUGGAUAUUCACUGAUUCUCGCAUGGGGGUUGGUGGAAAGGUUUUUUCUGGUGGGGGAUGGGCUCGCGGCCUAUCAGCUUGUUGGUGGGGUGAUGGCCUACCAAGGCUUUGACGGGUAGCCGGCCUGGGAGGGUGACCGGUCACAUUGGGACUGAGAUACGGCCCAGACUCCUACGGGAGGCAGCAGGGGGGAAUAUUGCACAAUGGGCGAAAGCCUGAUGCAGCGACGCCGCGUGAGGGAUGGAGGCCUUCGGGUUGUAAACCUCUUUCGCUCAUGGUCAAGCCGCAGCUUUGGGUUGUGGUGAGGGUAGUGGGUAAAGAAGCGCCGGCUAACUACGUG
Molecule: ribosomal RNA, 482 nt
Filed under: uncultured bacterium
Lineage: Bacteria
Description: partial 16S ribosomal RNA
Rfam family: Bacterial small subunit ribosomal RNA
Source: RNAcentral